This 3807-nucleotide long non-coding RNA is filed under the name Homo sapiens (human). RNAcentral describes it as "non-protein coding SCAMP1-AS1:12". The record is from RNAcentral. Lineage: Eukaryota; Metazoa; Chordata; Mammalia; Primates; Hominidae.
ACGAGCCCGCGGGAUCCUCGGAGAGUAUGGAACCCUUCCCCUCCGCUCUCAGCCGGAGGCCAGCUGCGUCCAGCCGGGCUCGGUCUUCUGAACACCGAUUUCAAAUCAGGUCCUCGGGGCCCAGCGUCACUUAGGGAAGUGGUGGCAUUUUGUGGUUGCUGCUAAAUCACGGAGAGCAGCCUUGGCGCUGCCGGUCCCAACUUGAUCCAAGGAGCCUUGAGAAGGAGAUGAGAUUCAGUACCAGGGGCCGGCCGUGGCUCCCAUCCUCCGGAAUCUGCAAAAUGGCUACUUCUUCAGAAAUAAUGGGGAGAGGGAUGGCAAGAGGCCAGAGAUCAAGGCCCUCGAGUAUUAACUUGAGCAUUUGGGCACAAAAUAGACACUUUUGGAUUUUCCCGUCUUUUCCAACACCAAGGAUGAGAUUAUCAAAAGAUGUGUUAAAUUAAUUUGUACCGGCCGGGCGCGGUGGCUUACGCCUGUAAUCCCAACACUUUGGGAGGCCGAGGCGGGCGAAUCACAAGGUCAUGAGUUCGAAACCAGCCUGGCCAAUAUGGUGAAACCCCCGUCUCUACUAAAAAUACAGAAAUUAGCCGGGAGUGGUGGCGUACGCCUGUAGUCCCAGCUACUCUGGAGGCUAAGGCAGGAGAAUCGCUUGAAUCCGGGAGGUGGAGGUCGCAGUGAGCCGAGACCGGGCCACUGCACUCCAGCCUGGGAGACAGAGCGAGACUCUGUCUCAAGAAAAAAAAAAAAUCAAUUUGUACCAUUCCUUGCCCCACCCUGCCGAACUUAUUGAAAGAGCAUCGCUUUCCUCACUUUUCUCCUCUAACAGAAAAGCACUUAGAUGAAGCUACAGGGAGCCAGAAUUCUUUUGACUUGGUGGGUACCGGAGGAUUGGAAGAAUCUAGAUUGAGUAUUCCUUGGCCUUUGGGGAGCUUGCUCUAUGCAAAGUCACCCAGGAAAUGAUACUCCCCCCACUGUGAAACACUAGCUAGAGAUGAUAGACAAAAAGCACAUUUGUUGUAAUCUCCCUUUGACGGGAUUCAGGUUGGGAUAGAUGUCGAAGCAGCUGCUUCUAGGUAGUCAACGAAGAUGUCAACUAGUAAAUGACAACAGACAAGGAUGAGCACAGCAGAGCUGUACGAUUCUAGAUAUCAAAAAGAGCAAGCAGUCUGUUGUACUCACCAUCGCAUCCUCAGCAGCUGCCCAGUGCCCGGUUUUAACUUAGUGCUCAGUGUAUGUGUCAGGUUUGAAUCCCAAUUCUGAUACUACCUGUGCUACUCUCUUCACCUCUCUGAGUCUGUAAAGGAUUAUUUAAGAAUUAAAUGAAACAACAUACAGAAAAGUGUCCUGCAUGUAUAUUUAGUGCCUAACAAAUAUUGGUUGAACGUCGAAAGUGGCAAGGAGGCUCAGUAUGUUCUUAUACGCUUUGCCUCCCUUCUCCUGAGCAAGCAUGUCCUUGCCCAGCUCAUCUGCUUCUCUCACCACUUUUGCCCUCACUCCCUCCACCUGUCCUCCAAAUGACUCAAAAUAAUCUGCACUAUUUAUUAUGCAUCUACUAUGUUCCAAGACAAUGAGGGUCAGCUGAGCCCGCAUUGCAGGAUGGAAAUUUCCAACUAUGUUCUGUUUACAGCUAAUGAUAUUUGCACCUAAUGCAAAGGUUUACAGACUUUACUGUUAUAGAAUCAUUUGGAAUACCUGUUGAAGAUGCAGACACCCACCUUACCAUACCUCCUAUUGCUAAGAUUACGCUUGAAAGGAUCUGAGGAAUACGGGAGGCUGGAUAAUGUAUGAAGAAAAGAGGAUUAUUUGACUCAUGGUUCUGCAGGCUGUCAGCUUCAGAUGAGGGCCUUAUGCUGCUUCCACUCAUGCAGAAGGCAAAGGGGAGACUUCGUGCAGAGAUCACAUGGCUACAGUGCAAGAUGGGGCAUCAGGGGAGAGAAAGGGAGAAGCUGACUCUCGGUUCUUUUGAACAACCUGUUCUCAAGGAUGAGAACUCACUCUCAGGAGAAUAGCACCAAGCCAUUUGUGAGGAAUUCAUCCAUAUGGCCCAAACACCUCCCACCAGGCCCCAACUCCAGCACUGGGACUCAUAUUUCAACAUGACACUUUGCAGGUCCAAAGCCAUACCCAAACCAUAGCAGGGAGCUUAUUAAUUCAUUAGCCUCCAUGAAAUUUAGAAUUAUAGAAUGUGCGAGCUGAGAAGGAACCUCAGCCUCUCUCAUGAUUGAAGAAACUGGAGUUUGGACAGGUUAAGUAAUUUGUCUCAGACACCAAGGAAGUGAAUGGGGAAACAGGGAACAGAACUCAGGUCUCUUGACUAAUGUUUUAGACAUUAAAUAAAUAGGUUAUUAAAUGAAUAGAAUUAUUCUAUAUGAAUAAUUUCAUAUAGAAGGAAGAAAUGCUAUGUGCAAGGUAGAGAGAAAUUAUACAAGAAGCCUCAUUUGGUGCAGGAGUUCAUUUUACGGAAGGUACCUCCUAAAUUUGGUAGAACAAAGACUCAAAACCAGUCUAUGCCCUCUCUCCUGCAAACCAACCGUUUGAUCUUGAACAUAUCAACUCACCUUUCUAACCAGAGUUUCUACUCUAGUACAUCAUUCAAGUAUUUCUUGAGCAACUAAAACAGUGAUGUUGUGGAUAAAGCAGUAAACCAGGUAUAAAGCGUAAGGCCUGCUCCAGAAAACUUCCUAAAAGGCCUAGAACAUGGCUAAAGGAUAUCUCAGAUCCUUUGGACAGUUCUAACGUUCUAUUAAUCUGGGACAGUGGCUCACUCCUCCCUAACCCUGUUUCUUUUCCCCUCAGAGUGUGCCUCCCAUCAUCAUCAUGCUGCUUCUCCUCAGACUGACACUUUUAAUUGGUGAACCUAUUGAGCAGGGUCUAGAGUCUGAAUUCCUUGUUUUCUAAACUGCCUAGCUUAUAGCUGGGGAAUGCUAGGAAAAUGCCAAGUUAGAUAUUUACGUUUCUUGCCUCAAAAGGUUCACUGGAUUCUGGGUUCACUGAUGGAUUAGAACUGAAAUCCAUCAUCUCUUACAGUGGGUCUAGUCUCCAGAUUUGCUGCUGUGUCUGCUGAUACCCUCGACGCCCCAGCACCAGCCUAUCUGGCUCCCUAUUCUGCCACUGGCUACAUUUUCAGGCAAUAACAGAGGAGGUGCAGGCAUUGUGUGGUAGGCCAAAUAAUCCUCCCCUCCCCCAAAGAUGUCCAUGCUAUAAUCCCUAGAAUCUGUAAAUAUGUUACCUUACAUGGCAAAAGAGACUUUGCAGGUGUAAUUAAGGUUAAGAACCUUGAGAGGAGGGGAUUAUCCUGGAUUAUUCAAGUAGGCCCAAUGUAAUCACGAGUCCUUGAAAGUGGAAGAGGAAAGCAGAAGAGUUGCUGACUUUGAUGAUUGAGGAAGGGGUUCUUAAACUAGGGCAUGUGAGUGGCUUCUGAAGCUGGAAAGAACCCUCAGCUGACAGCCACCAAGGAAACAGAGAUUUCAGUCUUACAGACUCAAGGAACUACAUUCUACCAAUGAUCAAUGUACAAGGAAAUAGAUUUUCCCUCGAGCCUCCAGAAAGGAACCUAGCCUUGCUGACACUUUGAUUUUAGACUGGUGAAAUUCAUGCUGAACUUAUGACCUACAGAGUUGUAAAAUAAAUAAAUAAAUUUCUUGAUUGUGCAGAUUAUUUUGUUAAAAAAAGAAAAAAACCAAAUUUUUGUAUUAAGAUGCUAAAUUGGUAGUAAUUUGUUUCAGCAGACAGAAAAUCUAAUACAGAUGCUUCUUGAUUUACAAUGAGGCUAUACCCUGAUAAUCCCCAUCGUAAGGUGAAAAUGCA